Molecule: long non-coding RNA, 474 nt
Organism: Orbicella faveolata
Lineage: Eukaryota; Metazoa; Cnidaria; Anthozoa; Scleractinia; Merulinidae
Source: RefSeq, a predicted model, not a curated record
CAGGUUUUUCAGUAAACUAUUGAAAAUCAAGCAAACAGUGCAAAGAUUGACGCAGAUUUCUAGAUGUACUUUGAUUUCAGGUUGAGGUGGGCUUUUUUCAAAGUGAGAAAACUAGUGUCCAGGUCAGCGUGGUCCCACAGCUGACUGUGUCCCUUUAACACUGAGAGAGAAAGGGUUAAAUUGGUGAUAUCAACAGUAUGGUAAGCAUUGUAUCGUAAGCUUUACAUUUGAUAUUUCCAGCUUCCGGCCGAGCAGCAUUAGAUCAGGAUUUAGAUUCCAUUCUGGGUGGUAAUGAUGAUGACAUAUUUGGUUCAAGUUCUCAGGAACAAACAGAUACAAGGGGCCGUUCUACAACCUCAGCUCCUGGCAAGAAAGCAUCUUUAACUUCUGGUGCUACAGAUGAAGAUUUCUAUAGCAGUUUGGCACAGAUGGCAGGAGAUGGUUUUGAUGAUGAUGAUGAUCCUGACGAGGUGA